This 891-nucleotide ribosomal RNA is filed under the name Colletotrichum nymphaeae. RNAcentral's name for it is "LSU rRNA". It matches the Rfam family "Eukaryotic large subunit ribosomal RNA", at positions 39 to 961 of the family's 3401-position model. Lineage: Eukaryota; Fungi; Ascomycota; Sordariomycetes; Glomerellales; Glomerellaceae. The record is from RNAcentral.
CAUAUCAAUAAGCGGAGGAAAAGAAACCAACAGGGAUUGCCCCAGUAACGGCGAGUGAAGCGGCAACAGCUCAAAUUUGAAAUCUGGCCCCAGGCCCGAGUUGUAAUUUGCAGAGGAUGCUUUUGGCGCGGUGCCUUCCGAGUUCCCUGGAACGGGACGCCAUAGAGGGUGAGAGCCCCGUACGGUUGGACACCAAGCCUUUGUAAAGCUCCUUCGACGAGUCGAGUAGUUUGGGAAUGCUGCUCUAAAUGGGAGGUACAUUUCUUCUAAAGCUAAAUAUUGGCCAGAGACCGAUAGCGCACAAGUAGAGUGAUCGAAAGAUGAAAAGCACUUUGAAAAGAGGGUUAAACAGCACGUGAAAUUGUUAAAAGGGAAGCGCUUGUGACCAGACUUGCGUCCGGUGAAUCACCCAGCUCUCGCGGCUGGGGCACUUCGCCGGCACAGGCCAGCAUCAGCUUGCCGUCGGGGACAAAAGCUUCAGGAACGUGGCUCCUCUCGGGGAGUGUUAUAGCCUGUUGCAUAAUACCCUUCGGCGGGCUGAGGUACGCGCUCCGCAAGGAUGCUGGCGUAAUGGUCAUCAGCGACCCGUCUUGAAACACGGACCAAGGAGUCAACCUUAUGUGCGAGUGUUUGGGUGUCAAACCCCUACGCGUAAUGAAAGUGAACGCAGGUGAGAGCUUCGGCGCAUCAUCGACCGAUCCUGAUGUUCUCGGAUGGAUUUGAGUAAGAGCAUAUAGGGUUGGACCCGAAAGAAGGUGAACUAUGCGUGUGUAGGGUGAAGCCAGAGGAAACUCUGGUGGAGGCUCGCAGCGGUUCUGACGUGCAAAUCGAUCGUCAAACAUGCGCAUGGGGGCGAAAGACUAAUCGAACCUUCUAGUAGCUGGUUUCCGC